RNAcentral lists this ribosomal RNA (138 nucleotides) under uncultured bacterium. RNAcentral's name for it is "partial 16S ribosomal RNA". It matches the Rfam family "Bacterial small subunit ribosomal RNA", at positions 355 to 509 of the family's 1533-position model. The record is from RNAcentral.
UGGGGAAUAUUGCACAAUGGGGGAAACCCGUGAUGCAGCGACGCCGCGUGAGUGAAGAAGCGCCUCGGCGCGUAAAGCUCUGUCAGCAGGAACGAUAAUGACGGUACCUGAAGAAGAAGCCCCGGCUAACUACGUGCC